AUUGAACGCUGGCGGAAUGCCUUACACAUGCAAGUCGAACGGCAGCACGGGGCAACCUGGUGGCGAGUGGCGAACGGGGGAGUAAUACAUCGGAACGUGCGCAGUCGUGGGGGAUAACGUAGCGAAAGCUACGCUAAUAUCGCAUACGAUCUAUGGAUGAAAGCGGGGGACCGUAAGGCCUCGCGCGAUUGGAGUGGCGGAUGGCAGAUUAGGGAGUUGGUGGGGUAAAGGCUCACCAAGCUUGCGAUCUGUAGCUGAUCUGAGAGGACGACCAGCCACACUGGGACUGAGACACGGCCCAGACUCCUACGGGAGGCAGCAGUGGGGAAUUUUGGACAAUGGGCGCAAGCCUGAUCCAGCCAUUCCGCGUGCAGGAUGAAGGCCUUCGGGUUGUAAACUGCUUUUGUACGGAACGAAAAGCCUUUUUCUAAUACAAGAAGGUCAUGACGGUACCGUAAGAAUAAGCACCGGCUAACUACGUGCCAGCCGCCGCCGUAA
RNAcentral lists this ribosomal RNA (498 nucleotides) under uncultured bacterium. RNAcentral describes it as "partial 16S ribosomal RNA". It matches the Rfam family "Bacterial small subunit ribosomal RNA", at positions 30 to 523 of the family's 1533-position model. The record is from RNAcentral.